CCUACGGGUGGCAGCAGUGGGGAAUAUUGGGCAAUGGGCGCAAGCCUGACCCAGCAACGCCGCGUGAAGGAAGAAGGCCCUCGGGUUGUAAACCUCUUUUAUCAAGGACGAAACAAAUGACGGUACUUGAUGAAUAAGCCACGGCUAAAUAAGUGACAGAAGCCGAGGUAAUACGUAGGUGGCAAGCGUUAUCCGGAUUUACUAGGUGUAAAGGGAGUGUAGGCGGGACUGCAAGUCAGAGUUGAAAACCAUGGGCUCAACCCAUGUGCUGCAUUUGAAACUGUCGUUCUUGAGUGUUGGAGGGGCAGGCGGAAUUCCGUGUGUAGCGGUGAAAUGCGUAGAUAUAAGGAGGAACACCAGUGGCGAAGGCGGCCUGCUGGACAAUAACUGACGCUGAGGCGCGAAAGCGUGGGGAGCAAACAGGAUUAGAUACCCUUGUAGUC
This 443-nucleotide ribosomal RNA is filed under the name uncultured bacterium. RNAcentral's name for it is "partial 16S ribosomal RNA". It matches the Rfam family "Bacterial small subunit ribosomal RNA", at positions 338 to 795 of the family's 1533-position model. The record is from RNAcentral.